AAACAGAGACCUCUCUUACCUUCUCCAACCAUGAACACCAGCCAAGAAACAAGAGAAACUCCAGCUCAUUUAACCAAGGAAUCGAGAGAGGGAAACAAAAGAAAACCAGAAAUCUUGUUCCAGUCUAAACCGUGAAGAGACAAUAGGUAAUUAAUUAAGCUCUUCUUCAUUUUCCUGCUAUGCCUGGUUAAUAAUUCCUUGGGAUGAACUAGAACUGAGAAAGGAA
Molecule: long non-coding RNA, 226 nt
Filed under: Coffea arabica (coffee)
Lineage: Eukaryota; Viridiplantae; Streptophyta; Magnoliopsida; Gentianales; Rubiaceae
Description: long non-coding RNA (CARA_LNC000152)
Source: RNAcentral